GACGAACGCUGGCGGCGUGCUUAACACAUGCAAGUCGAACGGAAAGGCCCCUUUGGGGGUACUCGAGUGGCGAACGGGUGAGUAACACGUGAGUAACCUGCCCUUGACUUCGGGAUAACUUUAGGAAACUGGGGCUAAUACCGGAUAGGAAUCCUUGCUGCAUGGUGGGGGUUGGAAAGCUUCGGCGGUUUUGGAUGGACUCGCGGCUUAUCAGCUUGUUGGUGGGGUAGUGGCUUACCAAGGCUUUGACGGGUAGCCGGCCUGAGAGGGCGACCGGCCACAUUGGGACUGAGAUACGGCCCAGACUCCUACGGGAGGCAGCAGUGGGGAAUAUUGCACAAUGGGCGGAAGCCUGAUGCAGCAACGCCGCGUGCGGGAUGACGGCCUUCGGGUUGUAAACCGCUUUCAGCAGGGGCGAAGCUUGUGGUGACGGUACCUGCAGAAGAAGCACCGGCUAACUACGUG
RNAcentral lists this ribosomal RNA (465 nucleotides) under uncultured bacterium. Its description in RNAcentral is "partial 16S ribosomal RNA". It matches the Rfam family "Bacterial small subunit ribosomal RNA", at positions 28 to 507 of the family's 1533-position model. The record is from RNAcentral.